Molecule: long non-coding RNA, 294 nt
Filed under: Nicotiana benthamiana
Lineage: Eukaryota; Viridiplantae; Streptophyta; Magnoliopsida; Solanales; Solanaceae
Description: long non-coding RNA (NBEN_LNC040694)
Source: RNAcentral
UUUGAAGCAGCGCCGGAUAACGAGGCGGACAACGACGGAAAUGAAUAAAUUUUUUUUGUGUGGAUUUUUGUUGUUCCCAUUGAUGUACCCUCUAAUUUUCUUUUUUCAAUAAAUAAACCUUGUUUAUUUCAUCUUUUUGCAUCCUUACUUACUAUUUUUUUGCUAAUGGCAAAAGGGGGAAGAAAACGGGAUAUUGGGUAUGCACCACCUCUUAAUUCAUUGAUUGCUUAUAAGCUAAAAUUGAGGGGGAACUCUUAAAUUGAGGGGGAACAAGAACAAAAUUGCAUAAUUGUU